RNAcentral lists this transfer RNA (73 nucleotides) under Gemmatimonadota bacterium. RNAcentral describes it as "Gemmatimonadetes bacterium (sponge metagenome) tRNA-Lys". It matches the Rfam family "tRNA". Rfam says of the family: Transfer RNA (tRNA) molecules are approximately 80 nucleotides in length. Their secondary structure includes four short double-helical elements and three loops (D, anti-codon, and T loops). The record is from RNAcentral. Lineage: Bacteria; Pseudomonadati; Gemmatimonadota.
GGCCCGGUAGCUCAGUUGGUAGAGCAGCGGACUUUUAAUCCGUCGGUCCUGGGUUCGAGCCCCAGCCGGGUCA